Molecule: small RNA, 76 nt
Filed under: Xanthomonas vasicola pv. vasculorum NCPPB 1381
Lineage: Bacteria; Pseudomonadati; Pseudomonadota; Gammaproteobacteria; Lysobacterales; Lysobacteraceae
Description: sX9
Rfam family: Xanthomonas sRNA sX9
Source: RNAcentral
AUGUACCACUCGUACACUGCGGUUCCUGUGCGCCGUCCGCACCCACCUGACGACUGCUCGCUACGUUUUGUUAGCC